GACGAACGCUGGCGGCGUGCUUAACACAUGCAAGUCGAACGAAAAGAGGGAAAGAGCUUGCUCUUUCCGGAAUUGAGUGGCAAACGGGUGAGUAACACGUAAACAACCUGCCUUCAGGAUGGGGACAACAGACGGAAACGACUGCUAAUACCGAAUAAGUUCCAAGGGCCGCAUGGCCCAUGGAAGAAAAGGUGGCCUCUACCUGUAAGCUAUCGCCUGAAGAGGGGUUUGCGUCUGAUUAGCUGGUUGGAGGGGUAACGGCCCACCAGGGCGACGAUCAGUAGCCGGUCUGAGAGGAUGAACGGCCACACUGGAACUGAGACACGGUCCAGACUCCUACGGGAGGCAGCAGUGGGGAAUCUUCCGCAAUGGGCGAAGGCCUGACGGAGCAACGCCGCGUGAGUGAUGACGGCCUUCGGGUUGUAAAACUCUGUGAUCCGGGACGAAAAGGCAGAGUGCGAAGAACAAACUGCAUUGACGGUAC
This 484-nucleotide ribosomal RNA is filed under the name uncultured bacterium. Its description in RNAcentral is "bacterial SSU rRNA". It matches the Rfam family "Bacterial small subunit ribosomal RNA", at positions 28 to 478 of the family's 1533-position model. The record is from RNAcentral.